Molecule: ribosomal RNA, 253 nt
Filed under: uncultured bacterium
Lineage: Bacteria
Description: partial 16S ribosomal RNA
Rfam family: Bacterial small subunit ribosomal RNA
Source: RNAcentral
UACGUAGGGUGCAAGCGUUAAUCGGAAUUACUGGGCGUAAAGCGUGCGCAGGCGGUUAUGUAAGACAGGUGUGAAAUCCCCGGGCUUAACCUGGGAACUGCAUUUGUGACUGCAUAGCUAGAGUACGGUAGAGGGGGAUGGAAUUCCGCGUGUAGCAGUGAAAUGCGUAGAUAUGCGGAGGAACACCGAUGGCGAAGGCAAUCCCCUGGACCUGUACUGACGCUCAUGCACGAAAGCGUGGGGAGCAAAUGGG